UACGAUGGAGACAAGUGUUAGUCAUCUUUAUUAGGUAUAAAGGGUACCUAGACGGUAAAUAAUAGCCCCGUUUAUAUUGAAAGGGUACUUUUUUUACUAGAGUUAUAUGGGAGAGGUAAAUAUUAGAACUAUAGGAGUAGUGAUAAAAUACUUUUGAUACUUAUGGGGACUGGAAAAGGCGAAAAGCAAACCUUUAUCUUUUGUAUAGUUAGUGUUACUAACUUAAA
Molecule: ribosomal RNA, 227 nt
Filed under: uncultured bacterium
Lineage: Bacteria
Description: partial 16S ribosomal RNA
Source: RNAcentral